ACGAACGCUGGCGGCGUGCUUAACCCAUGCAAGUCGAACGGAAAGGCCCUGCUUUUGUGGGGUGCUCGAGUGGCGAACGGGUGAGUAACACGUGAGUAACCUGCCCUUGACUUUGGGAUAACUUCAGGAAACUGGGGCUAAUACCGGAUAGGAGCUCCUGCUGCAUGGUGGGGGUUGGAAAGUUUCGGCGGUUGGGGAUGGACUCGCGGCGUAUCAGCUUGUUGGUGGGGUAGUGGCUUACCAAGGCUUUGACGGGUAGCCGGCCUGAGAGGGUGACCGGCCACAUUGGGACUGAGAUACGGCCCAGACUCCUACGGGAGGCAGCAGUGGGGAAUAUUGCACAAUGGGCGGAAGCCUGAUGCAGCAACGCCGCGUGCGGGAUGACGGCCUUCGGGUUGUAAACCGCUUUCGCCUGUGACGAAGCGUGAGUGACGGUAAUGGGUAAAGAAGCACCGGCUAACUACGUG
Molecule: ribosomal RNA, 467 nt
Filed under: uncultured bacterium
Lineage: Bacteria
Description: partial 16S ribosomal RNA
Rfam family: Bacterial small subunit ribosomal RNA
Source: RNAcentral